This 465-nucleotide unclassified non-coding RNA is filed under the name Hevea brasiliensis (rubber tree). Lineage: Eukaryota; Viridiplantae; Streptophyta; Magnoliopsida; Malpighiales; Euphorbiaceae. The record is from RNAcentral.
AAUCAGUUGGUUCAUUAGAUUUUUCUUUCCCAGCCACAAGCAUCAGCAUCUCAAGGCGCUUGUCAAAAAGUAAUGCACUCUCAUCUCUCUUAUCAAGCUCAGCAGCUUCAGCUUCAAGCCAUUUCUCUCGCAAAUCAUCCAGAAGAUUUCCUUGGUCUGUAUUUAGAAUUGCUCCUGGAGCAUUUGGGACUGUGGUGCGAAGUGAAGAAUCUCCAGAUGGUGGAGGCAGUGUCAGAAGCAUUGCUCGGAACUCUCGAUUAUCAGCAAAUGUCUCAAAGUUACAAGAGACAGUACUCUCGGAUUUUCAAGACGCCAUACAUAUCUGACAAUAUAAGCCAAUGGCACAGUUCUGCAUGUGAAACCGUUUCUAGAUGUGGCAAAAGUACAUCAGCUACAGCACGCUUAAGAGAAAACAAAAGAUAUCUCGAAGCAGCAUCAAACAUUUCCUCUGCCUGAUCUGGGUCA